Molecule: ribosomal RNA, 310 nt
Filed under: uncultured Hyphomicrobiales bacterium
Lineage: Bacteria; Pseudomonadati; Pseudomonadota; Alphaproteobacteria; Hyphomicrobiales
Description: bacterial SSU rRNA
Rfam family: Bacterial small subunit ribosomal RNA
Source: RNAcentral
AAUGAACGCUGGCGGCAGGCCUAACACAUGCAAGUCGAACGGAGUUAUAUUGUAGCUUGCUAUGGUAUAACUUAGUGGCAGACGGGUGAGUAAUGUAUAGGAAUCUACCUAGUAGUACGGAAUAAUUGUUGGAAACGGCAACUAAUACCGUAUACGCCCUACGGGGGAAAAAUUUAUUGCUAUUAGAUGAGCCUAUAUUAGAUUAGUUAGUUGGUGAGGUAAAGGCUUACCAAGACAAUGAUCUAUAGCUGAUCUGAGAGGAUGAUCAGCCACACUGGAACUGAGAUACGGUCCAGACUCCUACGGGAGG